AUUACUGUCAAAAGUAACGACAGUGACUACGUAGAGAAUCAGAGGAAGCUGUAACUUAAUUACACUGUAGGAUAGUCCACGUUUUUCUUUUUCUUUUUUAAAUUCAGUGAUAGUCUAUAUUACAAGAUAUUUGAACCUGUUUCCAGUCUGGAUGGAAGAGAGACACACCCUUAGUACUUACUUUUAAUUCCAAACAAUGAAGGUAAAGUUAGUUUGUAGACGGAAGCACCCAUGUUUGAAAGUGAUGUCUAAUUGAGUGGCAGACAAAGUGUCAAAUGCAAGAAAGACUUGACAGAAUAUGCCCAACUCUCACAAGAAUAGAGGGGAAAGGAAAGCAGCUACUUAAGGGGGAGACAGCGAAAACAGGAAGGAGAAAGUACAGUACAGGAGUACAGUAGUCCUGAGAGCUACACAGUAGAGUUGAGAGGGAAGUAGAGCAGCACAGAGAGCGAGAAGGAGCAGUUGUACACAGACAGGUUGCAGAGAGCGAGCAAGUUAGACACAGGUAGAGACAAAACAAGAGGAGUCAGAAGAUUAGAAAGAUUGUUAACGUUAAUGUAAGGCCAAGCAGAGCAACUCAGGAGUGCCCAAGAGAGAAUAGCCAUAUUGAAUCAGUCAUCUUGGAGAGGAGUUUGAGCAGAACAGCUGAGUUGAACCAGCCAGCCAGCGUUCAGAAAGACUAAGAAAAGGGUGAGCUGAUUCAGCAGUCAGUCUCAGAGGCUGAAAACAUUCUAGGCCUAGACUAGAUUGUACAGAGGCCAGGAACCUCCAGGACCUAGCUUAGCCAAAGAAGUAUUACAUCAAGCAAAUGAAAGAUUUUUUUUUACAAGAAUAUUGAAAUAAUUUUUACCAAUUUUUUUAUUCAGUAACCUUGUUAUAUGUAUAAAUGCAUACAUACACAUAUAUAAAUGCCUUUUUUUAUUUUAAAAGAGAGUGACUAAAAAUCUCAAGUGUAUUAAUUUUAUAUGUGGCCAAAAUUUAAGUAAGUUAAUGCAAAAGCAAGAUACUUCAGUAGCUGACUUAGAGAAAUCCAAACUGGCUAACUGUUAUUAUCACUGGCAUGAAAUACAGUUUGGAGGUCACUUAACCCAUAUCAUACGAGUGUUUAACAAUCAGGUGCCAACAGUCCACGUAAAAGGGUUAGUGAUGAAGAAUGUGCUGUGAGGAAACAACUAACCAUUCCUAUUUCCAGGAUGAAUGCCUAUAAUGACGGCAAGCACACAUACUUGUGUGCACCUAGUUUAAAAAGGCUAUUCACACAGGUAACCUCUAUUCAAGGCAAACAAAAACGACUUAAUUGAUGCUUUGAAAAGUGCUUGUUUCAGGGCUAGGAUUAUAUUAUAGCUAAGUAGUAGAAGACUUGCCUAAUAUGCACAAGGUCCUGGGUUGGACCCUUGCAAUUAGGUUGAACCAUAUGGAGUUGCCAGUAUUUGACCAUUUUGAAAUAUGAAAAUAGCAAUUUUACAUGGUUCUACCAUGGGAAUAACUAUACGUUAUUUUCUUAAUAGCACUAAACUGCAAAGUACCUAGGAAUAAAUCUAUCAAGAUAUGAAAGUGCAAGGUUGAACAACAUUGUAAAAGACACUAAGGAAGAUACAGACAGCCGCUCCAUGAUCAUUCUUCAAAAAAUUUAGUGUUGGGCCAAGUGUGAUGCACAUCUUUUAAUCCCAGCACUUGGUAGACAGAGGCUAGUCAAUCUCUCUGUGUUUGAAGCCAGCCUAUUCUACACAGUGAGUUCUGUACACAGUGAGACCGUUU
RNAcentral lists this long non-coding RNA (1758 nucleotides) under Mus musculus (house mouse). Its description in RNAcentral is "long non-coding RNA chr6:39162371-39164129". Lineage: Eukaryota; Metazoa; Chordata; Mammalia; Rodentia; Muridae. The record is from RNAcentral.